RNAcentral lists this ribosomal RNA (470 nucleotides) under uncultured bacterium. RNAcentral describes it as "bacterial SSU rRNA". It matches the Rfam family "Bacterial small subunit ribosomal RNA", at positions 335 to 799 of the family's 1533-position model. The record is from RNAcentral.
ACUCCUACGGGAGGCAGCAGUGGGGAAUAUUGCACAAUGGGGAAACCCUGAUGCAGCCAUGCCGCGUGUGUGAAGAAGGCCUUCGGUUGUAAAGCACUUUCAGUAGGGAGGAAGGUAGUGUAGUUAACACCUGCAUUAUUUGACGUUACCUACAGAAGAAGCACCGGCUAACUCCGUGCCAGCAGCCGCGGUAAUACGGAGGGUGCGAGCGUUAAUCGGAAUUACUGGGCGUAAAGCGCAUGCAGGCGGCCUGUUAAGUCAGAUGUGAAAGCCCGGGGGCUUAACCUCGGAAUUGCAUUUGAAACUGGCAGGCUAGAGUCUUGUGGAGGGGGUAGGAAUUUCAGGUGUAGCGGUGAAAUGCGUAGAGAUCUGAAGGAAUACCAGUGGCGAAGGCGGCCCCUGGACAAAGACUGACGCUCAGAUGCGAAAGCUGGGGAGCAAACAGGAUUAGAUACCCUGGUAGCACAGAG